GCCUUGGCAUCAGGAGCCGAUGAAGGACGUGGGAAUCUGCGAUAAGCCUGGUGGAGUCGAUAACCUGACGUUGAGACCAGGAUUUCCGAAUGGGGAAACCCCGUACGGUGUCAUGCCGUAUGACCCGCAGCUGAAUGUAUAGGUUGCGUGGAGGGAACGCGGGGAAGUGAAACAUCUCAGUACCCGCAGGAAGAGAAAACAAUAGUGAUUCCGUUAGUAGUGGCGAGCGAACGCGGAUGGGGCUAAACCGGUUGGUGUGUGAUAGCGGAUAGGCGUUGCAUCACCGGGGUUGUGGGGCCCACAUGUGCCAACCCUAUCUGGUUGGCGGGAUGAGGUGCAGGCGUAUAGGUGAAUCGGUUGGAAUGCCGGACCAGAGAGGGUGAUAGUCCCGUAGGUGUAAUGCGUGUCUGCCGUUCUAGUGUGGGUACCCGAGUAGCACGGGGCUCGAGAAAUCUUGUGUGAAUCUGCCAGGACCACCUGGUAAGCCUGAAUACUACCUGAUGACCGAUAGUGAAUCAGUACCGUGAGGGAAUGGUGAAAAGUACCCCGGGAGGGGAGUGAAAUAGUACCUGAAACCGUGCGCUUACAAUCCGUUAGAGCAUGACCCUUGUGGUUGUGUGAUGGCGUGCCUUUUGAAGAAUGAGCCUGCGAGUUAGUGCUGUGUCGCGAGGUUAACCCGUGUGGGGAAGCCGUAGCGAAAGCGAGUCUGAACAGGGCGUUCAGUGGCGCGGUCUAGACCCGAAGCGAAGUGA
RNAcentral lists this ribosomal RNA (752 nucleotides) under Conticribra weissflogii. Its description in RNAcentral is "partial Bacterial large subunit ribosomal RNA". It matches the Rfam family "Bacterial large subunit ribosomal RNA", at positions 30 to 728 of the family's 2925-position model. Lineage: Eukaryota; Bacillariophyta; Thalassiosirophyceae; Thalassiosirales; Thalassiosiraceae. The record is from RNAcentral.